This 101-nucleotide non-coding RNA is filed under the name Oceanobacillus oncorhynchi. RNAcentral's name for it is "Guanine sequence". It matches the Rfam family "Purine riboswitch aptamer". From Rfam's summary of the family: Riboswitches are metabolite binding domains within certain messenger RNAs that serve as precision sensors for their corresponding targets. Allosteric rearrangement of mRNA structure is mediated by ligand binding, and this results in modulation of gene expression. Lineage: Bacteria; Bacillati; Bacillota; Bacilli; Caryophanales; Bacillaceae. The record is from Rfam by way of RNAcentral.
GCCAACAAUUGAAAAAUGCCUCAUAUAUACUUGAGAAUAUGGCUCAAAAGUUUCUACCCGGCACCGUAAAUGACCGGACUAUGAGGGAGGAUGAGCCGUUG